AGGAGAGCACGAACUCUCUACCCUAUAAAAAAGAUUAAUUCAUAUUCUAUUUCUUACAUGCAAAGAGAAAAAGAUAUGGCUGAAACUCUCAAAUUUGUUUAUAGUUAUACUAUGAUUCUAUUUCUUUUCUUAUUUUUUGUCGCAACGGAAUCCGGUACAGAACUUAUAGAAUGUGAAAAAGAUAGUGAUUGUCCAAUAUCUUGGCACGAGUUUUUUUGGUUUAGGUGCUAUCGUAAUAAAUGUAAAUGGGUUCAUAGGUUUCCCUGAUUCUGAAUUUCAUAUCCAGGAGAAUAAGACUGUGUGCUAUCAAAAUAAAUGUGUAGUAUAUGUUAUGAUAGAAUAUUUCAUUAGUUGUCAUUUAUUUAUUGUAAUGCCAUCCAAUAAAGUUUUUCUUUCCCUAAUUUCAUGUACCAUGUAUGUAUAUUGUGUGUAAAAAAAUAAAUAAAGAACCUUGUGUAUAAUUUUGUAUUCUAAGAUGAUGGUAUGGUUGCAUAAAAAUACAAGUGAUGGUAAGGCAACAAAGAGUGUUAUUUAAAUUAUAUUCUUCUCUUUU
Long non-coding RNA from Trifolium pratense (red clover), 553 nucleotides. RefSeq lists it as uncharacterized. The transcript has 2 exons. Lineage: Eukaryota; Viridiplantae; Streptophyta; Magnoliopsida; Fabales; Fabaceae. The record is from RefSeq and is a predicted model, not a curated record.